GGAGAAGUACCCAAGCGGUUAUAAGGGGGCGCACUCGAAAUGCGUUAGGACGGGCAACCGCCCGAGUGAUUUCGAAUCUCAUCUUCUCCU
RNAcentral lists this transfer RNA (90 nucleotides) under Bacillus sp. MUM 116. It matches the Rfam family "tRNA". Rfam says of the family: Transfer RNA (tRNA) molecules are approximately 80 nucleotides in length. Their secondary structure includes four short double-helical elements and three loops (D, anti-codon, and T loops). Further hydrogen bonds mediate the characteristic L-shaped molecular structure. tRNAs have two regions of fundamental functional importance: the anti-codon, which is responsible for specific mRNA codon recognition, and the 3' end, to which the tRNAs corresponding amino acid is attached (by aminoacyl-tRNA synthetases). tRNAs cope with the degeneracy of the genetic code in two manners: having more than one tRNA (with a specific anti-codon) for a particular amino acid; and 'wobble' base-pairing, i.e. permitting non-standard base-pairing at the 3rd anti-codon position. Lineage: Bacteria; Bacillati; Bacillota; Bacilli; Caryophanales; Bacillaceae. The record is from Rfam by way of RNAcentral.